RNAcentral lists this ribosomal RNA (429 nucleotides) under Fusobacteriota bacterium. Its description in RNAcentral is "Fusobacteria bacterium partial 16S ribosomal RNA". It matches the Rfam family "Bacterial small subunit ribosomal RNA", at positions 355 to 776 of the family's 1533-position model. The record is from RNAcentral. Lineage: Bacteria; Fusobacteriati; Fusobacteriota.
UGGGGAAUCUUCCGCAAUGGACGAAAGUCUGACGGAGCAACGCCGCGUGAGUGAAGACGGCCUUCGGGUUGUAAAGCUCUGUUAUUCGGGAAGAACGAUUCGUUUGUGAACAAUGAACGGAAGUGACGGUACCGAAAGAGAAAGCCACGGCUAACUACGUGCCAGCAGCCGCGGUAAUACGUAGGUGGCAAGCGUUGUCCGGAAUUAUUGGGCGUAAAGAGCGCGUAGGCGGUAUGGUAAGUCUGUCUUAGAAGUGCGGGGCUUAACCCCGUGAGGGGACAGAGACUGUCAUACUGGAGUCUCGGAGAGGAAAGCGGAAUUCCUAGUGUAGCGGUGAAAUGCGUAGAGAUUAGGAAGAACACCGGUGGCGAAGGCGGCUUUCUGGACGAGCACUGACGCUGGGGCGCGAAAGCGUGGGGAGCGAACAGG